UACACACCGCCCGUCACACCAUGGGAGUCGUUUGCUCCAGAAGUGCCUGCGCCAACCGCAAGGAGGCAGGGCCCCAAGGAGUGAACGGUAACUGGGGUG
This 99-nucleotide ribosomal RNA is filed under the name uncultured bacterium. RNAcentral describes it as "partial 16S ribosomal RNA". It matches the Rfam family "Bacterial small subunit ribosomal RNA", at positions 1384 to 1482 of the family's 1533-position model. The record is from RNAcentral.